Molecule: ribosomal RNA, 386 nt
Filed under: Proboscia sp.
Lineage: Eukaryota; Bacillariophyta; Melosirophyceae; Probosciales; Probosciaceae
Description: partial small subunit ribosomal RNA
Rfam family: Eukaryotic small subunit ribosomal RNA
Source: RNAcentral
AGCUCUGCUAGCGUAUAUUAAAGUUGUUGCAGUUAAAAAGCUCGUAGUUGAAUUUCUGGUAGGAGUGAUUGGUCCAUCACAACGUGUUGGAACCUGAUUGUCUCCAGCCAUCCUUGGAAAGAGUCUUCAUGGCAUUAAGUUGCCGAGUUGACAGUUUCCAUCAUUUACUGUGAAAAAAUUAGAGUGUUCAAAGCAGGCUUAUGCCAUUGAAUAUAUUAGCAUGGAAUAAUAAGAUAGGACUUUGGUACUAUUUUGUUGGUUUGCGCACCAGAGUAAUGAUAAAUAGGGACAGUUGGGGGUAUUCGUAUUCAAUUGUCAGAGGUGAAAUUCUUGGAUUUAUGGAAGACGAACUACUGCGAAAGCAUUUACCAAGGAUGUUUUCAUUA